CCUACGGGCGGCAGCAGUGGGGGAUAUUGCACAAUGGGGGGAACCCUGAUGCAGCGACGCCGCGUGGGUGAAGAAGCGCCUCGGCGCGUAAAGCCCUGUCAGCAGGGAAGAAAAUGACGGUACCUGAAGAAGAAGCCCCGGCUAACUACGUGCCAGCAGCCGCGGUAAUACGUAGGGGGCAAGCGUUAUCCGGAUUUACUGGGUGGAAAGGGGGCGCAGACGGCGAUGCAAGCCAGGAGUGAAAGCCCGGGGCCCAACCCCGGGACUGCUCUUGGAACUGCGUGGCUGGAGUGCAGGAGGGGCAGGCGGAAUUCCUGGUGGAGCGGUGAAAUGCGUAGAUAUCAGGAGGAACACCGGUGGCGAAGGCGGCCUGCUGGACUGCAACUGACGUUGAGGCCCGAAAGCGUGGGGAGCAAACAGGAUUAGAUACCCCAGUAGUC
Molecule: ribosomal RNA, 440 nt
Filed under: uncultured bacterium
Lineage: Bacteria
Description: partial 16S ribosomal RNA
Rfam family: Bacterial small subunit ribosomal RNA
Source: RNAcentral